AUUGAACGCUGGCGGCAGGCUUAACACAUGCAAGUCGAGCGGGGGAGGUUGCUUCGGUAACUGACCUAGCGGCGGACGGGUGAGUAAUGCUUAGGAAUCUGCCUAUUAGUGGGGGACAACAUUCCGAAAGGAAUGCUAAUACCGCAUACGCCUACGGGGAAAGCAGGGGAUCUUCGGACCUUGCGCUAAUAGAUGAGCCUAAGUCGGAUUAGCUAGUUGGUGGGGUAAAGGCCUACCAAGGCGACGAUCUGUAGCGGGUCGUGAGAGGAUGAUCCGCCACACUGGGACUGAGACACGGCCCAGACUCCUACGGGAGGCAGCAGUGGGGAAUAUUGGACAAUGGGGGGGAACCCGUGAUCCAGCCAUGCCGCGUGUGUGAAGAAGGCCUUUGGUUGUAAAGCACUUUAAGCGAGGAGGAGGGCUACCGAGACUAAU
This 435-nucleotide ribosomal RNA is filed under the name uncultured bacterium. RNAcentral's name for it is "bacterial SSU rRNA". It matches the Rfam family "Bacterial small subunit ribosomal RNA", at positions 30 to 465 of the family's 1533-position model. The record is from RNAcentral.